CUAUCAAAACUCUAUUUCCGGAUAUGUACAGCUUUGGCACCAAACAUGAAGGACAAGAUUUAUUGUAGCAAUGUUAAAACAGCUUGGGUAACUGCUUUGACAUAGGUGACUAAAGGUGUUCAAUUAAAAAAUUGUCCAUUGUUUGGACAUGCAGCUUGGGUGUUCGUAAAUCUUGUCCAUACAUACACCGAUCAAACUGUCCUGUGUUAUUGGCCGAUUCAUGUACGGCAUUUACCUCAGUGAAUAUUCUAAAAUCCCUUGAUGUGCACAUGAUUUAAGUCUCAAUAUACCUGGCGAAUUGCCAAUACGAAGCUAAAGUGACCAGGGUUAAAAUGUAAAUAUGUUAAAAGAGUAUUUUAUAGAAUUUAAAUAGUUUCAUUGUUAUUGAUAUCUGUAUUAAUAUAGGGAGGUGACCAUUCUACAUUGAUCCAGUGCCUUUUUAUGGGAUUCGAAACUGUGACUGUGAGAUGUAUGAGAGUUUGACUUCUAGGCGGGCAAUUCUACUUUCACUUUAAACGGAUGGCAGGUGCCUGAGUGUAUCUCGACCCAUUUCCAGGCUAGCAUCAGAUGUCAUGAUGGACCUUUAAAAUCUUUCACAUGUGUGCUUUCAAGAACCAUAUACAUUAUUUUUGAAAAUUGGUUGCCAUGGUAAUAAAAUCUGAAAAUUAACACAUGGGCUUCUGAAGGCGAAUUUUCCUCCAUUUCCUGGUAGUUUGUGACCUUAAGCACAAAUCAGCUUGAAACUUGAAUUUUCCAGGCAAGAAUUUUUUUGUUUAUUGUGUUUAAAUAUGAUGUUUAUGCUUUAAAUAUGAGGUUUAUACUUAAUAUUAUUGAUUUCAUUGAAAUUGAAGGUCAUCGAUUAGUAAAUAUGUCAGAAGUAUUCUUAGCAAUUGGUCGAGUGUGAGUGCAAGAAAUUUCUCCUCAGCCAUAAAUUUUCUAUGAAAGUUUUUUGCAAUGCUAAUGAUGGAUGGAUGUGUGUGUGUGUGUGUCUGUGUGUGUGUGUGUGUGUCUGUCUGUCUGUCUGUGUGUGUGUGUGUGUGUGUGUGUGUGUGUGUGUGUCUGUCAAUCAGUGAGUGUGUGUGUCUGUCUGUCUGUCUGUGUGCGUGUCUUUCUGUGUGCAUACGUGCGCGCGCAUGCAUGUGUACGUGUCUGUCUGUGUGUCUAUGUGUUUGUCUGUGUGACUGACUAUGUGUUUGUGUGUCUGUCUGUCUAUGUGUCUGUCUGUCUGUGUGUGUGUUUGUCUGUCCGUGUGUGUGUUUGUCUGUGUGUGUGUUUGUCUGUCUGUAUAUGUAUGUAUGUGUGUUUGUCUGUCUGUACAUGUAUGUUUGUCUGUGUAUACCCAUUCUAUGUGUGUGUUUAUCAGUGUGUGUCUGUCUGUGUGUGUUUGUCUAUGUAUGUGUUGUGUGUAUCUGUCUGUGUGUCUGUCAGGUAGUCAUAGAGAAACAGAUAAAGCUUCAGAAUAUAAAUUUCAAUUUUAUUGAAUUCACUGUAUAUUGCAUAAGGAUCACUAACAUAGGUGUGAUACACUGUACAUCUAGUGGAGUACACCGACUUUUCAGAAACUUUUUGAUAUGUCAUCCAUACGCAUCCUGGCAUGAAACUGCUUCGCUUCUGUUUGUCUAUUUGAAUUACACCAGUGGAUCUACAUAGGCUAGCUUAACUAUGACAUCAUAAUAUAACACGUAAUGUGAUGUCAUAAUAGAGUAAUGACAUCAGAUUUUUUUUUUUUUUUUCUUGGCUAGAGUUAUCUUCCUUGACAAAUAUUCUUCUUCAUACAAAGGUGUCUUAUUUUGACUUAUGUUUAUUAGAUAAAAGCAUGAUAUCAGGGUAAUUUAUUAAAGAUGUGACGGUUUAGACGAACCAAUUUUUAGGGCAAAUUUCUCAUUGAAAUAAGUUUUUUUGAACUUGAAAAAACAAAAAACAGACUCUCCAGGAUUGCUCAAGUUAACAUCCUUACUGGCCAUUUCAGGGGUUUUUUCUCUACAAUUCCUUUUAUUUCACAUCAAAUUUCCUUAAAAUACAAUUCUAGUCUUUAUUUGGAAUCAAAAUCGCAUGUAUUUCACUCAGUUCUGGGUCUUUUAUUCUAUUUUCAACUUUACCAAGGGGAAGAACUCUGCUGGAAACAGUGAUGUGAAGAGGGCAGUUUUUGUUCACUCAUUUCAAGAUAUAAUUAACAAUAACUCCCCAUGUAUGAUACAUCAUUUUACUCGGAAAAACUUAAAUUUUUAAACAGUAUAGGUAUUUCAUGAUGUCGUAGAAUUUCCGCAGUCUUUAAAGUCUCAAUAUACCUGGCGAAUUGCCAAUACGAAGCUAAAGUGACCAGGGUUAAAAUGUAAAUAUGUUAAAAGAGUAUUUUAUAGAAUUUAAAUAGUUUCAUUGUUAUUGAUAUCUGUAUUAAUAUAGGGAGGUGACCAUUCUACAUUGAUCCAGUGCCUUUUUAUGGGAUUCGAAACUGUGACUAUGAGAUGUAUGAGAGUUUGACUUCUAGGCGGGCAAUUCUACUUUCACUUUAAACGGUAAGUUGAAAAGAGCAUGCUGCAUCUUUGAUGUAAAAUAUCUCGAAAAGGAAUCAAGGACCCUAUUGCAAAUUUGGCCUUGUUGGAAAGGUUAGGAAUUUUGCUGAAAGUUGAUAUCUGUCAUUAUACUGGGGAAAUUUUUUUUUUUGAAUUAGGAGGGGUUGAAAAUGGGUAUAUUUUCCUCAUUUUUGUUGCUUUUUUACUUCCAGGAUGGCAGGUGCCUGAGUGUAUCUCGACCCAUUUCCAGGCUAGCAUCAGAUGUCAUGAUGGACCUUUAAAAUCUUUCACAUGUGUGCUUUCAAGAACCAUAUACAUUAUUUUUGAAAAUUGG
Molecule: long non-coding RNA, 2847 nt
Organism: Ostrea edulis (European flat oyster)
Lineage: Eukaryota; Metazoa; Mollusca; Bivalvia; Ostreida; Ostreidae
Exons: 2
Source: RefSeq, a predicted model, not a curated record